GGAAAUGUGGCUUAGUGGUAGAGUGCUUGCCUAGCAUGCAUAAAGCCCUGGGUUCAAUUCCUCAGUACCA
RNAcentral lists this transfer RNA (70 nucleotides) under Dipodomys ordii (Ord's kangaroo rat). It matches the Rfam family "tRNA". Rfam says of the family: Transfer RNA (tRNA) molecules are approximately 80 nucleotides in length. Lineage: Eukaryota; Metazoa; Chordata; Mammalia; Rodentia; Heteromyidae. The record is from Rfam by way of RNAcentral.